Molecule: ribosomal RNA, 465 nt
Filed under: uncultured bacterium
Lineage: Bacteria
Description: partial 16S ribosomal RNA
Rfam family: Bacterial small subunit ribosomal RNA
Source: RNAcentral
GACGAACGCUGGCGGCGUGCUUAACACAUGCAAGUCGAACGGAAAGGCCCCUUUGGGGGUACUCGAGUGGCGAACGGGUGAGUAACACGUGAGUAACCUGCCCUUGACUUCGGGAUAACUUCAGGAAACUGGGGCUAAUACCGGAUAGGAAUCCUUGCUGCAUGGUGGGGGUUGGAAAGCUUCGGCGGUUUUGGAUGGACUCGCGGCUUAUCAGCUUGUUGGUGGGGUAGUGGCUUACCCAGGCUUUGACGGGUAGCCGGCCUGAGAGGGCGACCGGCCACAUUGGGACUGAGAUACGGCCCAGACUCCUACGGGAGGCAGCAGAGGGGAAUAUUGCACAAUGGGCGGAAGCCUGAUGCAGCAACGCCGCGUGCGGGAUGACGGCCUUCGGGUGGUAAACCGCUUUCAGCAGGGGCGAAGCUUGUGGUGACGGUACCUGCAGAAGAAGCACCGGCUAACUACGUG